This 212-nucleotide ribosomal RNA is filed under the name uncultured bacterium. RNAcentral's name for it is "partial 16S ribosomal RNA". It matches the Rfam family "Bacterial small subunit ribosomal RNA", at positions 1288 to 1500 of the family's 1533-position model. The record is from RNAcentral.
ACGUUCGGAUUGAAGGCUGAAAUUCGCCUUCAUGAAGCCGGAAUUGCUAGUAAUGGCAGGUCAGCAUACUGCCGUGAAUACGUUCCCGGGCCUUGUACACACCGCCCGUCACACCAUGAGAGUUGGGAAUACCCGAAGCCUGUGAGCCAACUGUAAAGAGGCAGCAGUCGAAGGUAGAAUCAAUGAUUGGGGUGAAGUCGUAACAAGGUAUC